UUUAUCCCUCUCACCCUUCUUUCUUUCUCCACGUCAUUCCUCCCCCUCCCUACUGCCGCUCCUGCGCUCCCUCCGUCCAGCCACCGCACCACCCCCGAGAUAGCAACGGCGACUCCUCCGUGAAGCAUGUAACACACGCCCCCAACCGGAACUCCUUACUCCUACUAAAUUAACUUAAUUUUAGGACAUAUGCUCUAACCCACAUCCACACAAUUAUCAAAAUAGUUGUAAAUUAGAGGCGAACCUGGUGCGAGCAGGCAAAAAAGGCAUGGUUGAGUAAGCAAGUAAAAGAGUUUUUGUUGACGUGUACAGGUAGUGUACGCGUAUUUCAUAAUUUAAGCUUAAGAAAAUAUUUGGAAUAUAUGAGACUUCUUAAAUUCUAUGUGACAAUGUGGAAUAGUUGAAUAGUGAUCAAAGUUUUUGUGGAGUGUUUAAUUUAAUGUGAUAUGAUAUGAACAAGGAUAUUGAAAGGUAAGAUGGUGGAGAUUGUCGGUUUCAUAUAUUGAAUAUAUUGAAAUUGUGAAUAGGCAUAUGAUAUGCAAAGUGAUUUAAAGGAUUAUGCGUGUUGAGCAAUGUGAAAAGAGAUAGUUGGCAUGCCAUAGGACAGCAGUACUGCACACAUGGUUGAUCAUUCGUCUUCUGGAUAACCGAAGCGAUGAUCCAUAUGAUAUGUUGAUAGAGAGUAUGUGCCCUAUAUGGGUUAUAUGUGACAGAUGUCUUAUGAUAGGCCAUAUGGGAGAUGUACAACAUCUGAUAGUAUCCGAUACAAAUGUAUAUGACAGAUGCCCUCAUCGGGCUACUUAUAGUGUCUGUGUACUCGUGUCCACCACUAAGCAGAACUAGGGGUUGAAUGUGUUAUCUAUUUGAGAAACAAUAGUUGUUCUUUAACAUUAAUUAAAUGGUUAUGAUUAUCUUGUAGUA
Salvia splendens (bonfire salvia) is the source of this 921-nucleotide long non-coding RNA. RefSeq lists it as uncharacterized. The transcript has 2 exons. NCBI's taxonomy places the organism in Eukaryota, Viridiplantae, Streptophyta, Magnoliopsida, Lamiales, Lamiaceae. The record is from RefSeq and is a predicted model, not a curated record.